RNAcentral lists this long non-coding RNA (848 nucleotides) under Mus spicilegus (steppe mouse). Its description in RNAcentral is "lncRNA (ENSMSIG00000030320.1)". The stretch from base 269 to 422 matches the Rfam family "Nuclear enriched abundant transcript 1 conserved region 3". The record is from RNAcentral. Lineage: Eukaryota; Metazoa; Chordata; Mammalia; Rodentia; Muridae.
AUAAGGGGUUGUGAACCCACCUGGGGAUGAGGCCUGGUCUUAUGGAAGGUGGACUUAGCUUCGCUGGGCGGACAGCUCUGGCCCAGGGUGAUAGCAGUGCCCUCUCUGGACUUUGCCUAGGUUCCGUGCUUUCUCUUCUGUGGUCUCACUCUUCCCUACUCUUGCCCCUCACUCUGAGGUUAAGGGGUCACUUAAAACCUUGCCCCUGGGUCAUCCGGUAAGCCUGAGGAGGAUGUAGAGUCGGUGCUGGAGUCUUGGGCACGGCAUUUUGUGUUCACCAUGGCAAGCAGAUGGCACCAGGAGAUAUGGAGCCCCUGCCAGUGUGAGUCCGUAGCAGUGCAGGAGGGCUCACCCUGGAGGAGACAGCGGCCUCGGUUGACGCCUACACAGUGAAUUCCAGAGGCUUAGGAAGCGCGUCCCUGCCCUGGGUCCAGGCCUUUCUCAGGAAGCCCUGUGCUCAGGAGGCCAUCGUUGAAGUCAGCUUGUAGGGGGUGGGCAGGUGCUUCCAGCCAGAGGGGCCGUCGGCUGUGAAUGUUCCAGAUGAAUGUCUUGUUCUGGGAGCAUCAUUCUUUGCGGAUGCAUGAAUGGCAGCAGGCACCCUUUUUCAUGGGGGUAGAGGCGUUCGACUGCUGCAUCUUCUAAACAAGCCUCCAUCCAGCCUUUGUAGUUCUGUGCUGCGAACUUGGCCUCAAGAAGAUUGCGUAAGGUGUAGGACACUUUAACUUCUGCGCAGCGUGCUACACUGUAGAUCGGGAGCCCAGUGACCUCGCCCACCUUCCCUGCUUCUGCAGCCUGCCUGCCUCUGCAUUGGUCAGAGGGAUUCUUAACUGAAAACUUGUGGGUGUUGG